GACGAACGCUGGCGGCGUGCUUAACACAUGCGAGUUGAACGCUGAAGCUUGGUGCUUGCACUGGGUGGAUGAGUGGCGAACGGGUGAGUAAUACGUGAGUAACCUGCCCUUGACUCUGGGAUAAGCCUGGGAAACUGGGUCUAAUACUGGAUACGACAUGUCACCGCAUGGUGGUGUGUGGAAAGGGUUUUACUGGUUUUGGAUGGGCUCACGGCCUAUCAGCUUGUUGGUGGGGUAAUGGCUCACCAAGGCGACGACGGGUAGCCGGCCUGAGAGGGUGACCGGCCACACUGGGACUGAGACACGGCCCAGACUCCUACGGGAGGCAGCAGUGGGGAAUAUUGCACAAUGGGCGGAAGCCUGAUGCAGCGACGCCGCGUGAGGGAUGACGGCCUUCGGGUUGUAAACCUCUUUCAGCACGGAAGAAGCGAAAGUGACGGUACGUGCAGAAGAAGCGCCGGCUAACUACGUG
Molecule: ribosomal RNA, 472 nt
Filed under: uncultured bacterium
Lineage: Bacteria
Description: partial 16S ribosomal RNA
Rfam family: Bacterial small subunit ribosomal RNA
Source: RNAcentral